UGCAAGUCGUACGAGCAUCGCAAGAUGUGUUAGUGGCGAACGGGUGCGUAACGCGUAAGAACCUACCUUUUGGAGAGGGAUAACAUCGGGAAACUGAUGCUAAUACCUCAUAUUGCUGAGGAGUGAAAGGUGAAAACCGCCAAAAGAGGGGCUUGCGUCUGAUUAGCUAGUUGGUGAGGUAAAGGCUUACCAAGGCCACGAUCAGUAGCUGGUCUGAGAGGAUGAUCAGCCACACUGGGACUGAGACACGGCCCAGACUCCUACGGGAGGCAGCAGUGAGGAAUUUUCCGCAAUGGGCGAAAGCCUGACGGAGCAAUGCCGCGUGAAGGAAGAAGGCCCGUGGGUCGUAAACUUCUUUUAUCAGAGAAGAAUAAAUGACGGUAUCUGAUGAAUAAGCUCCGGCUAACUCUGUGCCAGCAGCCGCGGUAAUACAGAGGGAGCAAGCGUUAUCCGGAAUGAUUGGGCGUAAAGCGUUUGUAGGUGGCCUAGAAAGUCUACUGUCAAAUAUCAAGGCUUAACCUUGAGCAGGCAGUGGAGUACUCCUAGGCUUGAGUGUGGUAGAGGUAGAGGGAAUUCCAUGUGGAGCGGUGAAAUGCGUAGAGAUAUGGAGGAACACCAGCGGCGAAGGCGCUCUACUGGGCCAAGACUGACACUGAGAAACGAAAGCUAGGGGAGCGAAAAGGAUUAGAUACCCUUGUAG
Molecule: ribosomal RNA, 700 nt
Filed under: uncultured bacterium
Lineage: Bacteria
Description: bacterial SSU rRNA
Rfam family: Bacterial small subunit ribosomal RNA
Source: RNAcentral